GUCCAUUUCACAACUCCUCAUUUUAAUUGACGUAUACAGACAGCAAAAACAAAGCAAUUUCAUUCACUUAGCACAAUUUAUCCUUUUUCCCUUUUCCUCUAGAACAUUUAGGCUUAGUCAAGAUAAGAUUAAAAAAAAGACAUACAUGCAACAAAAUUUUAUAUAGUCCAGUCGAACAUAUUAAUGCAUGCCACUAAAGACACAAAUAAGUGCAACACCGGCGAUAAUCAUGUCUCGUUACACAUUGUGUCUCAAACUACUUUCUCAACAACCUUGCUGGUAAGAAUCAUAAACCGUGCAAUCAUCCAUAGAUAUCAAAGGUCAAAUUUAAAGAAUGAUUUGCGUCAACUAGUAGAUCGACAGCCUUCACGACUUUCCUCAUCAUAUGAGUUUGAUCUUGAAGUGUAGGGAGAUUAGAGAGAAGUCAAAACAUUUCAGAUCCUGCGAUGACCCAAAA
Molecule: long non-coding RNA, 457 nt
Filed under: Olea europaea subsp. europaea
Lineage: Eukaryota; Viridiplantae; Streptophyta; Magnoliopsida; Lamiales; Oleaceae
Source: RNAcentral